RNAcentral lists this ribosomal RNA (253 nucleotides) under uncultured bacterium. RNAcentral's name for it is "partial 16S ribosomal RNA". It matches the Rfam family "Bacterial small subunit ribosomal RNA", at positions 524 to 776 of the family's 1533-position model. The record is from RNAcentral.
UACGUAGGGUGCAAGCGUUGUCCGGAAUUAUUGGGCGUAAAGAGCUCGUAGGCGGUUUGUCGCGUCUGCUGUGAAAACCCGAGGCUCAACCUUGGGCCUGCAGUGGGUACGGGCAGACUAGAGUGCGGUAGGGGAGAGUGGAAUUCCUGGUGUAGCGGUGGAAUGCGCAGAUAUCAGGAGGAACACCGAUGGCGAAGGCAGAUCUCUGGGCCGUAACUGACGCUGAGGAGCGAAAGCAUGGGGAGCGAACAGG